GACGAACGCUGGCGGCGUGCUUAACACAUGCAAGUCGAACGGACAGGCGCUGCGUUUGUGGGGUGCUCGUGUGGCGAACGCGGGAGUGACACGUGUGUAACCUGUCCUUGUCUGUGUGAUAUCUUUACGGAACUGGGGCUAUUACAGGGUAGGAUCUCCUGCUGCAUGUUGGGGGUUGGUGAGAUUCGGCGGUUGGGGAUGGACUCGCGGCUUAUCAGCUUGUUGGUGUGGUAGUUGCUUACCAAGUCUUUGACGGGUAGCCGGCCUGAGAGGGUGACCGGCCACAUUGGGACUGAGAUACGGACCAGACUCCUACGGGAGGCAGCAGUGGGGAAUAUUGCAGAAUGGGCGGAAGCCUGAUGCAGCAACGCCGCGUGCGGGAUAACGGCUUUCGGGUUGUAAACCGCUUUCGCAGGUGACGAAGCGUGAGUGACGGUAAUGGGUAAAGAAGCAACGGCUAACUACGUG
RNAcentral lists this ribosomal RNA (468 nucleotides) under uncultured bacterium. Its description in RNAcentral is "partial 16S ribosomal RNA". It matches the Rfam family "Bacterial small subunit ribosomal RNA", at positions 28 to 507 of the family's 1533-position model. The record is from RNAcentral.